Molecule: small nucleolar RNA, 98 nt
Organism: Mercurialis annua (annual mercury)
Lineage: Eukaryota; Viridiplantae; Streptophyta; Magnoliopsida; Malpighiales; Euphorbiaceae
Product: small nucleolar RNA snR60/Z15/Z230/Z193/J17
Exons: 1
Source: RefSeq, a predicted model, not a curated record
AAGGUUCAGGUGAUGAUUUUAAUGCAUAGUUCAAAUGAUAAUAUGAAUUGUGAUUAUAAAUCUAAUUUUUAGUCUUUCGCUCCUAUCUGAUGACCUUU